Molecule: long non-coding RNA, 3975 nt
Filed under: Canis lupus familiaris (dog)
Lineage: Eukaryota; Metazoa; Chordata; Mammalia; Carnivora; Canidae
Description: lncRNA (ENSCAFG00845013455.1)
Source: RNAcentral
CAGGACUCUAAGGUCACGACCUGAGCCGAAGGCAGAUACUUAACUAAGCCACCCAGGCGCUGGCUUUUGAACAUGUUAGAGAAGUCAAUUAUUCAUAAGACAUCGUAGUUUGUUACAAAUGAAAUGAUCGCCUGUGUUUCACCCCAUACGGGUGAGCCAAACAGGAUUAUGGACACUGGGACUACAAUAAAAUGUUCUAAUUUGCAACUGAGGACUAUUGAAUCAUAUACACUUACAUAGAGACUGCAUGAAGCAAGUUUUCCAAGGGGGAAAUAACUUUAGAUAAGGGUCUUGAUGUAAUACACAUGGAUGCUAGAAGGGGGUGGGGGGCAAUCCAGAUGGAAGGAAGGAGGACCAAACCUAGAGAUCUGAGGAUGGGGUGGGGUAUCCUGAGAAUGGUGGGUUCCAACAGGACUGGGGCUUAUUUGCUGGACACUCUUGAACAUGGAACUGGGUCUGUUUUCUCUGAAAGGCAGUAAGUAGCUUGCUAAGGAAAGAUGCAGAGCUGCAGAGAUGUCAAAUGACUGGCGGGGCUGAAUCAGAGUAGGAAAGCCUGAACCAGGAAGCUUCAGGUGUGGUCAUCCUAGUGAGGUUAAAAAAAAAACAAAAACAAAAAAAAAAACAAAAUAGGCUGGAGGUUCAAAUCCCCAGACUAAUCUGGAGAGAAGUGAGGAAGGAGACAAGUCUUUCUUUUUUUUUUUUUAAAGCCUUUAUUUACUUCUGAUUUGAGCAACACUUGCACACAGUCAAGCACUUGGAAAACAGAAGAGGCAGUCUUUAUCAACCCACUGCUGAAGAAUUACAAUUGUGAGCAUCCUGAAUACUGUGUCUGAGGAUGAGAGAAUGGGCUCCCUAUUUUCACCAGGCGAACAAUAGACCUUCCAGCGGGCAGUUGCAGACAGUCAGCUUCCUGGCAAGCUGGAGGAGUUCCCUACGGCAGAUGGGGAGAGCUUCUAAAACAUGUGAAGUUUCUCCCAUUGUAUCCAUCCUCAACUUCUAACCCGAUGCCAUUAGUGAUUUUGGUUAACCUUUUUCUUGAGCAGCUGCCCUGGGUGGGGGAUGCCUUGCUUUCUACUCCUAGAAAUUAGAUUUAGUUUCAUCUUAGCCUCACACAUUUUUUUACUCACACAUGAGCCAGCUGUUCAGGAAUUCUACUAAAAUCUUGAAACUCAAAUAUUCUGACUUCAGCCUCUCCCCAUUCCAGUUCCUGCCUUCUCAUCCAGACUUCUGGAUGCUGAAUUCCCCCAUUUUCCCCUGUCUUCCUGCUUUCUCCAGUGCCAUGGUUCAAUCAUCUGAACUGCUUUCUUGCUAUCAUCUUUGAUUGCCUUUUCUCCUAGCCCUUUUACCUGCCUGGCAAAACUGAAAACUCACACAGUUGCCAUUCAUUUUUGCUGUCAUAUAGCCUAGUGCUGUUGCGGGAAUUGGAAGAUAUAAACUGGGGCCACCAAAGCUGCGCAGGCUCGGAGCUCAGUGAAGCCCUGUCAGCCAGCUACUGACUCAAGGUCUCCUGUUUGUAUUAGAAACCACGUCUUUAUUCCAUCCUCCCGAUUUCUUCCUGUCUCAGACGAAUGGAUUCUCUCCUUGCCAUCAAGCCAAACUUCUCCACCGGCCAGUUGCCUCACCUCCUUGACCCCAUCAGUUUCUUUACAAAGCUACCCCAUCAACCACCACUUCUCUUGUAUUUUCAACCUUUGGCUCCCUACUGAUGAAUGAGUGUCAUUAGCCAGCUCCCCAACCCUGCAUUUCCUUCUAGCUAUCAUUCAAUUGUCCUCUGACCUUCAGAGCCAGACAUAUGCUUAGGGACUACUUCAAACACACUGAAACAGUGCAGAGAAGCAUGUAACAAACAAGGAUUUAACAAAUGUCAACAUUUUUUACCACAUGGACUCAAGUUUUUUCUUGGAGGAAAUAAAAUGCCUCAAGAAAAACCUGGAAAGACCUGUCUUCCUCUCCCUUUUCAAUCCACUAUAAUGUGGGUUCUGCCCCUUACCACUCUACUGGAAUCAUUCAUGGUCUUCAUUUAAAAUGUAGUCGCUGGCAAGAUGGCAGAAGAGUUGGGGCCUUAACUCACCAGGCCCCACAAACUUACCUAGAUAACUUUCAAAACAUCCUGAACACCUACAAAUUCGACCUGAGAUUUAAAGAGAAAAUAGCUGGAAUGCUACAGAGAGAAAAGUUUUCGCUUCUAACAAGGUAGGAAGACAAAAAAACAAAAAAGAAUUAAGUAAGGGAGAGGAACUGCAACCAGCAGGGCUAAAGUGGAGCAGUGAAAGCCUCCUGGGGCAGGAAAGCUCAGCCCUGGAAAAGUGGGAACUUUAAAAAUCUGCACCAGAGUUUUCCCUGACAGAAAAGUGCUUAGCCAGGAAAUCGCAGGAGGGGCAGGGAAGCCUCAAGAUUCCCAGAGUCACUAUAAGAGGAGGGGCACCUGGGGGAAAGUGCACCACAAACCACGGUCCACUAUCGGUAAAGGGGUGGAGCGCCACAAUCCUCUGGUGCAUUUGGGAAAAGCCAGUUGGUUAGGUGAGCUGGCUCUGGGCGGAGGUGGCUGUACCCCAUUUCCUUCGGGACAGGCAGUCCCCAGGAGCGCGAGUCCAGAGGCACAGGGCCCCGAAUCCCAGGGCGCCAAAGCAAAGCGGGUGUUCCUUCUGGGACAGGCAGAAGCGGGGAGGGCACAGGACAGUGAGAACUCAACUGCUACUAGGUACCCAGCAAGCUGUGCAGAUCAGUGCACCGGCGCCUGCCCCCAGGAGCAUCUAGGCCAGUGUGUACUGGGAGCUGUGGUUAGUUACUCACAGGGAGCUAGACUCCAGAGCUGGAAAUCUGGCCGCUACCAUUUUUGUUUUUCCUCUGUUUCACCUUGUGCCUAGGAGAGGCGGGGCCUCUAGGAAACAAAGACCUCACGGGAUCAUCAACUCACUCUGAGCCUGGCACCUGGUGAGGGAUGGGGUAUCUCCACCCAGGCCCAGACACCUGAGAAUCAGGACAGCAGACCCUUACCCCAGAAGAGACCAGCUGGAAGAACAAGGGAAGAGCAAGUUUAUUGACCAAGCAGCACUGGAAAGCUGCCUAUGCUGAUUCUCUAGGACUGAGGGAAAAUAGUACAUAGAACAAGAAGGUCUUUUUUUUUUUUUUUUUCCAUUACUACUCGUUUUUAUAUCAGACUAAAAAUUUCCAAUAUUUUUUCUUUUCCCACCUUAACUACAAUAUUUUACCAGCUCUUCAUUUUUAAGUUUUUUCCUUUUUGACUUUCAUAUUUCUAAAAUUACAUGUCUUAGACAUAUUUUUUACUUCUGGAUUCCCUUCAACGUAUUCAAUUUAAUUUUGGUAGAUAUACAAGAUAUGGGUUUUUGUUUUGUGUUGUUUUUUCUGCCUCAUUUUGUUUUACGAUGGUGGGUGUUAGUACCUUCUAAAACACGACCAACAUAUACCCAGAACCAAGUAGAAUACCAUGUUCGUUCAUUCUGUGAGAUUCUAUUCCCUCUUCCUCCUCAUUCCGCCCCCCUCUUUUAUCUUGUUUGUGUUUUUGUGGUCAAUGUUGGGGCUUUACAUAACUUUUGCUGGUUUAUAUAAAUUUAGGAUUGAGCACCUUCUAACACAGAGAACAAAAAAUACUCAGAACCAAGAUGAUCACCCUCUAGGACCCCUCAGAUAGACAUUCUCUCUUCACUACCACUUCCUCACCACCACCAUCCCCUCCUUUUUUUCUUUUUCCUCUUUACUUUUUUCUUUUUCUUUGUUCUUCUUCAUUGUUUUUGGUUUUGGCUUUUUAUUUUUACUGCUUUAAGAAUGUGUUUUUCACUUUAGUGGUCCUUUUAUUUUGUUUUUUUUGUUUUGUUUUGUUUUUUUAAUUUUCUGGUCUCUGACGUCUUCAGAAUCAUCUAGGGUGUAUUUUACUUGGUCAUGGUUGAUAUUUUUGACUCAGCCCACUCAUACAGCCACUCUGCACUGGACAAAAUGACUAGAAGGGAGAAUUCA